CCGCGAUGUGGUGUCCUAGACUACUGCGCCACCCGGGUCCCAUUUUUUUGCAGAAUUCUGCAUGAACAUUCUCAAUUUGGUGUUUUGUGAAUUCUUGGUUGGGGAGCGGACCCCAGACCUCAUACCCAUAAAGGGCAAUGGGUUCAGAUCCUAAUUGGUAAAAAAAAAUCAAUGGCUGCCCAAUUUCUGGAAGAUCGUAAAUCUACCAUCUCUGAUUUGCACCAGACUGCUGCUCACGGACAGAAGAGAUGGACUUCAACCAUCAAUAGCCCGGUGGAGGAUUGUUAUCCAUGGUGCUGUGGAUGGUUACAGCAGACUUGUUGGGUUUCUGAAGGCCUCUGACAACAACAGGAGUGCCACAGUCAUGGAUGUCAUUCGAAGCAGCCAUCACCAGCUACGGAGUACCAUCCCGGGUGAGAUGUGACCCGGGUGGUGAAAACAACCGUAUCUGUGCCUUCAUGGAGCAAUUCAGGGGUGGUGAGAGGGGAAGUGCCCUCAGAGGAAGGAGCACACAACCAGAGGAUAGAGUGGCUGUAGGGGGACGUCUGGCAUGGAGUCUCCAACGUUUACCAUGACCUGUUCACCUUCUUGGAGACGGAGCAGAUCAUCGACAUCAACAAUGGGGUGGACCUGUGGGCACUGCACUUUGUGUUCCAGCCACGGAUGAACAGAGAUCUUGCUGUGUUUGCCAGUCAGGGGACCCACCAUGGGCUGAGGACUGAACAACGGCAGUCACCUCUGCAGUUGUUCGUCUCGGGCUCCCUGGCAAUGCAGAGGGCCAAUCUGACAGCUGUAAGGGAUUUGUUUGCCCCAAAUUCAACCACCAUCAGCUCUCAAGCCACCACCUCAGCUCCUCCUCCAACAACCAUCACCUCAGCGCCUCCUCCAACCACCACCUCAGCUCCUCCUCCAACAACCAUCACCUCAGCGCCUCCUCCAACCACCACCUCAGCUCCUCCUCCAACAACCACCACCUCAGCUCCUCCUCCAACAACCAUCACCUCAGCGCCUCCUCCAACCACUGGCGCCGCAGCUAUUUAUUGGUCGGAAUGGGUGAUUGUGCCACAAACCCAGUUCACCAUCAGCAACACACAGAUGGAGCUGUUGUGGACAAUAAUUCAAUUGGAAGUCCCCAGAGGCAGCCUGGGAGUUGACAUUCUACAGAGGGUUAUGGCAGUUAUAUCUUCAGCGCCACUCGUUCCUACUUCAACCUGAUUUAUACUCCCCUACUGGGAUGAGGGAUUGGAUGCUAUAUCUUCAGCUCCACUCCUUCCUUUGAAUCAGUUCAUUUUUAUAAUACUAUUAUACAUUUUAUAAUACUAACAUUCCCCCUCUCACACACUGUAUGAUUUGGUCUCUAGAAAGGUGCGACAGACAUUUACAACUCUAAACAGAUGGGGACCAGAGUUUAGACACAGGUGGCCUUAACAAAAGUGACGUACUUCUCCAUUCCGUUAUGAUUUUGUUUGCUCAUAUUUGGAGAGUGUCAGGUACUGUUAAGAUAUAAGGCUGAAGGUUAUUGUAUUUUGCUCUAUGGCGCUUUAGCACAGCAUUCCAUCUGCUGACACAAUGUUUGUCUUCCACUCAGUAUAACACGACCCAGGAGAGGCCUACUGCAAGCACUGGAUUAGAGCCUUCAGAGCGCGCCUGCUGUGGGAGGACAACAGAACAUUCUGAAUGGACAUUAUUAAAACAGAACUUGCAUUUUUGUAAUGCCCAAUCGGGACUUUUAUAAAUUGUUAAAAUAAAUGUGUGGAGAAAGCCCUAUAGUUAAAAAAAAUAAUUUAAAAAAACUAUGAAGAUAGGGAUUCGGCUCCCGUUACAUUUUAUAUCUUUGUGAUUAACAGCAACCGAUUACAGUUACUAACAUAACAUUGUUGACACAUUGUGGCAGCUCAAAUGAUGUGGUUGAAGAUGGACUAGUGCAGGGCUCUCCAACCCUGUACCUGGAGAGCUACUGUCUUGUAAGUUCACUCCAACCCUAAUCUAGUGCACCUGAUUUGAAUAAUUACCUGCUUAAUAAAUUAAUCAGGUUAGUUACAAUUGAGGUUGGAUUGAAAACCUACAGGAGGGCAGCUCUCCAGGAACAAGGUUGGAGAGCUUUGGACUAAUGGAUCUAGUUCUUAGAUCAAUGCAUUUGAAAUUCGAUAAGUUACUACGAAGGUGCAGUUCCCAGAAGUGGAGCUGUCACUUAAUACAGUGGAUGGGAAGUCUUAUUUCAUGUAGUUCUAAUUAAAUGAUUGUUGAAGUUUAUUGUUCUUAAUGUAGGAC
Oncorhynchus tshawytscha (Chinook salmon) is the source of this 2271-nucleotide long non-coding RNA. The record is from Ensembl. NCBI's taxonomy places the organism in Eukaryota, Metazoa, Chordata, Actinopteri, Salmoniformes, Salmonidae.